This 35-nucleotide small RNA is filed under the name Curtobacterium sp. ER1/6. Lineage: Bacteria; Bacillati; Actinomycetota; Actinomycetes; Micrococcales; Microbacteriaceae. The record is from RNAcentral.
GUCGCCAAGAAGACCGACGACGUCGCCGGUGACGG